CUGCAGAGCUUCAACAAAAAACCUCUUCCUGGGCACAGCCACAGCUGCAGGAACCGCAGGGCUGGCAGGAGCUGGAGCAGCUCUGGGCUGCUCCUGGACAGUGAGGGGACAUCGCUGCACACCACUGAUGACCCUGUCCUUUCUGCCAUUUCUCCUACUUCAUCACUCCUUUCGUUCUCCUGAGUCACAAAAGCAGUGUUGUGACCUGGGGAUUAUAUUCACUGUAUAUCUGGUCACCAGAUCAGUUUGGCCACUUUGCCCAACCUCGUACCUGCAGCAUGUCUGCACCUGCUCUUGGUUUCCUUCUUCCCUUGGGUACUUGAACGCACUUGGCCACUUCUAGCUACAUAAUUGCCUGCUUCCAAAGCAGCUGCAGGCUCUUUGAAUCUGCUUCUGUGAGGAAAGCAGUGGGUGAAUAGCUUUGUGUGGAUUUCAGGGGCAUUUCAGAGUGCUGUAAUCCAACCAAUGUGGUCUGUAGUGUUGCAGUGAGCAGGGCUAUAAGAUCCUGCACGACACGUCAGUUACUCUGAAAGCAGUGUCUCCUGUUUGUUUCCAAAGAAAGUACAGCAGUUACAAAGAGUGCAAUAAUGCUAUUUGAUAGAGCAGUUUCCCUGAUGCAGGACAUUAAUCAGAGUCAACACUGUUUUCGUCAGCGAUGAAGAAGGUCCUUCAUUUCAUGCUGGUGAAUACCUGCAGCAGUAGAGGUGGACCACAGUUUCAAAGCUGUUAUGCUGGUAUUGUUCCCAGGAAAAUGUUGCCCACACGAUACAUCUCUCAUCAGCCCAAACAGAUGGAAGUCCAAAGGUGCGAUACACAGCACUAUAUCAUGGUUGUAGUAGGGACUGUUCAGUCUAGAUUGUCAGUGUGCACCAUAAAAAUGGAACAGUGACGGUCUUCUGGGCACUGUACUUGUUCUUCUCUUCUGUGAAGCAGGUACACAGAAAAAUAUGAUAAUCAAUGGAACUGGAGCAUUAAGUCUUUAACCCCCAGUGCACUACAUGAUGUCACGAUGUGAAAUAACGAUAACAGAAAUAAUAAAACCAGAACAUCAUGCCAGCCUGAUGCGAGCUCCAAGACCCUGAUCAUCACUGGGUUGGAGUUAGAAGACAGCACAGUCUGUUCCUGCACCCUGCUGGGACCAUGAUGAGAUACUGGGUCCCAGCUCAUCAGUGGCUGGAGCUGGAAGACUGCACUCAAGUUCUGCACCUUGCUGGGAGCACGGUGGGAGACAGUCCUGGGUGCCCCGACAGUGGCAGCGUCGUCCGCUCCUCCCCUCCGUCUUGUCCUUUUGCAGCCCAGCAUGAGCCGGGUGGUGAUAGUGACAGGUGGAAAGAGCCCAGAGCUGCAGGGAGAAGCGCAGGGAAUGCAGACGAAGCUGAACCGAGAAGAAUGGAAUAAAAGGCUAACAGGCUGAUUUCUA
This is a long non-coding RNA of Gallus gallus (chicken), 1420 nucleotides long. RefSeq lists it as uncharacterized. Lineage: Eukaryota; Metazoa; Chordata; Aves; Galliformes; Phasianidae. The transcript has 2 exons. The record is from RefSeq and is a predicted model, not a curated record.